RNAcentral lists this ribosomal RNA (1013 nucleotides) under Apilactobacillus kunkeei. Its description in RNAcentral is "bacterial SSU rRNA". It matches the Rfam family "Bacterial small subunit ribosomal RNA", at positions 60 to 1030 of the family's 1533-position model. The record is from RNAcentral. Lineage: Bacteria; Bacillati; Bacillota; Bacilli; Lactobacillales; Lactobacillaceae.
AGUCGAACGAGCUCUCCCAAAUUGAUUUUAUGCUUGCAUAAAUGAUUUUUGGAUUCGGAGCGAGUGGCGAACUGGUGAGUAACACGUGGGUAACCUGCCCCGAAGCGGGGGAUAACAUUUGGAAACAAGUGCUAAUACCGCAUAAUUAGUUGGAACCGCAUGGUUCCAACUUGAAAGAUGGCUCUGCUAUCACUUUGGGAUGGACCCGCGCCGUAUUAGUUAGUUGGUGAGAUAAAAGCCCACCAAGACGAUGAUACGUAGCCGACCUGAGAGGGUAAUCGGCCACAUUGGGACUGAGACACGGCCCAGACUCCUACGGGAGGCAGCAGUAGGGAAUCUUCCACAAUGGACGAAAGUCUGAUGGAGCAACGCCGCGUGAGUGAUGAAGGUUUUCGGAUCGUAAAACUCUGUUGUUAAAGAAGAACAAGUGUUAGAGUAACUGUUAACACUUUGACGGUAUUUAACCAGAAAGCCACGGCUAACUACGUGCCAGCAGCCGCGGUAAUACGUAGGUGGCAAGCGUUGUCCGGAUUUAUUGGGCGUAAAGCGAGCGCAGGCGGUUUUGUAAGUCUGCUGUGAAAGCCCUCAGCUCAACUGAGGAAGUGCAGUGGAAACUACAAAACUUGAGUACAGAAGAGGAAAGUGGAACUCCAUGUGUAGCGGUGAAAUGCGUAGAUAUAUGGAAGAACACCAGUGGCGAAGGCGGCUUUCUGGUCUGUUACUGACGCUGAGGCUCGAAAGCAUGGGUAGCGAACAGGAUUAGAUACCCUGGUAGUCCAUGCCGUAAACGAUGAAUACUAGGUGUUGGAGGGUUUCCGCCCUUCAGUGCCGCAGCUAACGCAUUAAGUAUUCCGCCUGGGGAGUACGACCGCAAGGUUGAAACUCAAAGGAAUUGACGGGGGCCCGCACAAGUGGUGGAGCAUGUGGUUUAAUUCGAUGCUACGCGAAGAACCUUACCAGCUCUUGACAUCUUCUGCCAACCCAAGAGAUUGGGCGUUCCCUUCGGGGACAGA